Molecule: ribosomal RNA, 497 nt
Filed under: uncultured bacterium
Lineage: Bacteria
Description: partial 16S ribosomal RNA
Rfam family: Bacterial small subunit ribosomal RNA
Source: RNAcentral
GACGAACGCUGGCGGCGUGCCUAAUACAUGCAAGUAGAACGCUGAAGAGAGGAGCUUGCUCUUCUUGGAUGAGUUGCGAACGGGUGAGUAACGCGUAGGUAACCUGCCUUGUAGCGGGGGAUAACUAUUGGAAACGAUAGCUAAUACCGCAUAACAAUGGAUGACACAUGUCAUUUAUUUGAAAGGGGCAAUUGCUCCACUACAAGAUGGACCUGCGUUGUAUUAGCUAGUAGGUGAGGUAAUGGCUCACCUAGGCGACGAUACAUAGCCGACCUGAGAGGGUGAUCGGCCACACUGGGACUGAGACACGGCCCAGACUCCUACGGGAGGCAGCAGUAGGGAAUCUUCGGCAAUGGGGGCAACCCUGACCGAGCAACGCCGCGUGAGUGAAGAAGGUUUUCAGAUCGUAAAGCUCUGUUGUAAGUCAAGAACGGGUGUGAGAGUGGAAAGUUCACACUGUGACGGUAGCUUACCAGAAAGGGACGGCUAACUACGUG